CUCCUACGGGAGGCAGCAGUGGGGAAUCUUGCGCAAUGGGCGAAAGCCUGACGCAGCGACGCCGCGUGAGUGAUGAAGGCCUUCGGGUUGUAAAGCUCUGUGGGGAGAGAAGAAUUAGUGCGGGCUAAUACUCCGCAUGAUGACGGUAUCUCCUUAGCAAGCACCGGCUAACUCUGUGCCAGCAGCCGCGGUAAGACAGAGGGUGCAAACGUUGUUCGGAAUUACUGGGCGUAAAGCGUGUGUAGGCGGCCAUGUAAGUUGGAUGUGAAAGCCCCGGGCUCAACCCGGGAAGUGCAUUCAAAACUGCGUGGCUUGAGUACUGGAGAGGUUGGUAGAAUUCUCGGUGUAGAGGUGAAAUUCGUAGAUAUCGAGAGGAAUACCGGUGGCGAAGGCGGCCAACUGGACAGAUACUGACGCUGAGACACGAAAGCGUGGGGAGCAAACAGGAUUAGAUACCCUGGUAGUCCACGCCGUAAACGAUGGGUGCUAGGUGUCACUGGCAUUGACUCCGGUGGUGCCGUAGCUAACGCAUUAAGCACCCCGCCUGGGAAGUACGGCCGCAAGGCUAAAACUCAAAGGAAUUGAC
This 586-nucleotide ribosomal RNA is filed under the name uncultured bacterium. RNAcentral's name for it is "bacterial SSU rRNA". It matches the Rfam family "Bacterial small subunit ribosomal RNA", at positions 336 to 914 of the family's 1533-position model. The record is from RNAcentral.